UAAACGUCUCGGUUCGGAUUGUAGUCUGCAACUCGACUACAUGAAGCUGGAAUCGCUAGUAAUCGCGGAUCAGAAUGCCGCGGUGAAUACGUUCCCGGGUCUUGUACACACCGCCCGUCACACCAUGGGAGUCGGAAAUGCCCGAAGCCAGUGACCCAACUGAAAGGAGGGAGCUGUCGAAGGCAGGUCUGAUAACUGGGGUGAAGUCGUAACAAGGUAGC
Molecule: ribosomal RNA, 221 nt
Filed under: uncultured bacterium
Lineage: Bacteria
Description: partial 16S ribosomal RNA
Rfam family: Bacterial small subunit ribosomal RNA
Source: RNAcentral